GAUGAACGCUGGCGGCGUGCUUAACACAUGCAAGUCGAACGAUGAAGCCCAGCUUGCUGGGUGGAUUCGUGGCGAACGGGUGAGUAACACGCGAGUAACCUGCCCUCAUCUCUGGGAUAAGCCUGGUAGACAGGGUGUAAUACCGGAUAGGAGAGUUCAUCGCACGGUGGGUGUUGGAAAGAUUUAGCGGUUUUGGAUGGACUCGCGGCGUAUCAGCUUGUUGGUGAGGUAUUGGCUCACCAAGGCGACGACGGGUAGCCGGCCUGAGAGGGUGACCGGCCACACUGGGACUGAGACACGGCCCAGACUCCUACGGGAGGCAGCAGUGGGGAAUAUUGCACAAUGGGCGCAAGCCUGAUGCAGCGACGCCGCGUGAGGGAUGACGGCCUUCGGGUUGUAAACCUCUUUCAGUAGGGAAGAAGCGAAAGUGACGGUACCUGCAGAAGAAGCACCGGCUAACUACGUG
RNAcentral lists this ribosomal RNA (466 nucleotides) under uncultured bacterium. RNAcentral's name for it is "partial 16S ribosomal RNA". It matches the Rfam family "Bacterial small subunit ribosomal RNA", at positions 28 to 507 of the family's 1533-position model. The record is from RNAcentral.